RNAcentral lists this ribosomal RNA (522 nucleotides) under uncultured bacterium. RNAcentral describes it as "bacterial SSU rRNA". It matches the Rfam family "Bacterial small subunit ribosomal RNA", at positions 777 to 1297 of the family's 1533-position model. The record is from RNAcentral.
AAUAGAUACCCGGGUAGUCCACGCCGUAAACGUUGGGCGCUAGAUGUGGGGGCCAUUCCACGGUUUCCGCGUCGUAGCUAACGCAUUAAGCGCCCCGCCUGGGGAGUACGGCCGCAAGGCUAAAACUCAAAGGAAUUGACGGGGGCCCGCACAGGCGGCGGAGCAUGCGGAUUAAUUCGAUGCAACGCGAAGAACCUUACCAAGGCUUGACAUAUACGAGAACACUGCAGAAAUGUAGGACUCUUUGGACACUCGUAUACAGGUGGUGCAUGGUUGUCGUCAGCUCGUGUCGUGAGAUGUUGGGUUAAGUCCCGCAACGAGCGCAACCCUCGUCGCAUGUUGCCAGCACGUAAAGGUGGGAACUCAUGUGAGACUGCCGGGGUCAACUCGGAGGAAGGUGGGGAUGACGUCAAAUCAUCAUGCCCCUUAUGUCUUGGGCUUCACGCAUGCUACAAUGGCCGGUACAAAGGGCUGCAAUACCGUAAGGUGGAGCGAAUCCCAAAAAGCCGGUCUCAGUUCGGA